CCCUUAGAUGGUCUGGGCGGCACGCGCGCUACAAUGAUGCAUUCAAAAAGUCUUCUGACCUUAGAAGGUUGGGUAUUCUCCAAAGUGCAUCGUGAUGGGAAUAGUUUAUUGCAAUUUUUAAUCUUGAACGAGGAAUUCCUAGUAAGUACGGGUCAUCAACUUGUGUUGAUUACGUCCCUGCCCUUUGUACACACCGCCCGUCGCUCCUACUGAUUGAGUGUCUCGGUGAAUUCUUUGAUCUUCUGUCGAUUCAGUUCACUGAUCCGACGGUGGAAAGUUGAAUGAACUUCGUCACUUAGAGGAAGGAGAAGUCGUAACA
Molecule: ribosomal RNA, 319 nt
Filed under: uncultured eukaryote
Lineage: Eukaryota
Description: partial 18S ribosomal RNA
Rfam family: Eukaryotic small subunit ribosomal RNA
Source: RNAcentral